GGAUCCGUGCUCUUCUGAUACUUGCGGAUCUCCCGGAGCGCGACGGUGCCGGGGUGGAAUUGAUGGGGCUUCUUCACACCACCGGUGGCUGGGGCGGACUUGCGGGCCGCCUUGGUCAGCAAUGAAAAUGGAUCAUUAAUCAAAUUAAUGAUUUUAAAAUAA
This 162-nucleotide ribosomal RNA is filed under the name Triticum aestivum (bread wheat). Its description in RNAcentral is "partial small subunit ribosomal RNA". The record is from RNAcentral. Lineage: Eukaryota; Viridiplantae; Streptophyta; Magnoliopsida; Poales; Poaceae.